Molecule: long non-coding RNA, 6468 nt
Filed under: Sus scrofa (pig)
Lineage: Eukaryota; Metazoa; Chordata; Mammalia; Artiodactyla; Suidae
Description: lncRNA (ENSSSCG00030020995.1)
Source: RNAcentral
UUUCUGUAUUUUGUUGGUUUGCUUUGAAUCCUAUGGAUAGUCUCCCUUUGGAUGGGAGGACUCCUUAAGGGUCUAAUUACUAGGCAGAGGUUUAGACAGGCAGGCUUCCUCUUAGGGCACAUGGACAGGAAAGAAGCAGGCAGACCAAGCAAUUGCCAACUUAAUGCCCCUCUUGGACAGUGCCACCCUCCUUUGCAUGUGCUCUUUGUUCAGAUGGUUUGUGGGAAUCCAGAUUCCCCUUAGCCUCCACUCUGAUUCUUCCUUCAGCCUCAAACAUAUACUCAGAGUCUCCCCAGACAGACCAGGCACCUCCUUGUAGACUUCUCAGGCUUUAACUCGAUUACUCUGUGUAUAUGUAAAGAGGAAGAGAGGACCUGACUAGCCCCUCUUCAAUGAAGUUGUCCAGCGCAAUUUUGAAAACAAAAGGGCAUGUCUCUUCCCUUGAAGGAAACUGGCUCUGCUCUGAUUUCUCUUUCGAUCUAAUUCUAUCUGUAUCCGUGUUCUCAAAAUUUCUACUUGGAGCUUAGGACUUGUCUUAAGAAUCUAUUUUAUGUUAUUUCAGUGAAUAGGAGAAGUAGCGAAGUGAUGAAAAACGUGCUUUCCAUCCCACAUUUGGGAACAUAAGUCAAGUCCACAUCUUUUGAUUUGUACUUCCUAUCUAGUGCUUCUGAAUGUGGACUGUGAGUGUUUGAAGUCUAAGUCCUAACAUAGUAGUUUACAACACAGGUAGGUCAUACCAUCAAGAACUUCUCUUCCUCCUCUUCCUUUAGGGUUUGACAUUUUUAACUCUAAAAUGAGGGUACCAGAUCACAUGGAGGGAUCUCUAAGCUGAGAAGAAUAGUAGUUAAACUCUUCAGCUCCUAAAGAACCUUAUUCACCCUACUCCAGACCCUCUUAUUCCCCAGUUGAACAUGAGACAGAAUGAACUUUUUUCUUUCUUUUCUUUUUUUUUGAGAAGAGAAACUUUUGAGAACAGUGUGUGGGGAGCAGACGUGAGACAGUCUUCCCUGUUCCCACCCAUGGACAUGUCUCCCUCCCACAUUUCAGGAUUUCAACUCUCAAGGGAGCAUAGCACCCAAUUCCUUGGCUGGAAUGUAGCUGGCUAUAGGACCUCUUAAUCCACUCCCAUAACACUAUUGAAGGGCUGUUGAGAGAUUAGAGAACUAUAAAAUAAAUUAGAAAAGGUCAAAAAUCACUCUUCCCUCAAUUUCCUAUAAAGUUAAAAUGAACAUGAUGGAAAUUCUGUAAUUUUUAAGAGACCUAGAGAUGACCAAGGAAGGGACUCCUAGGUUCCACCCAGUGAGUCAGAGGACCCCAUAAAGACAGGGGAAUAGACUGCCCAUUAUAAGUGGACACUUUCCAGGAGGAUGCAUGAAGUCAGGCAGCUGUAGAUUGUCACUUAGCUGGAUGCCAAAACCAUAAAACAAGCUACUCAUAGAAUCAGGAGGUGGAUAUGCUCAUUGGACACAUGAGGUAAGGAUUGACCAACAGAGCCAGUACCAGACUCACAGCCCAUCACCAAUUUAUUCACAGUCUCUCUUCAUGCAAAUAUUCUUUGGCCUUUCUGACACAGAUUUAAGUCAGGUUUGAGAGUAGGAGGAAAAGGGAGUUUGGGAAAAGAGAUCAUGGAAAUGUUUGAAUAUGAUGGUAGUCACUCAGGGAACACUAGGUUUUAGUCUGGAAGUGACUGGAAAAACGGGAGUACAUUUAUAAAAUCACUACUGAUUGAGAUUGGGACCAGGUCAAAGAAAACCAAGAACAAUUCUAAAAUAAAUAUAUAAAGGAGUUUUAUAUUUACCCAUAGCUUAAUGUUGAUAGUAUAAUUUUGAGCUCUUAAUACCCAAUAAUGUACAUUGUAGUAGAGUGCUUUAUAAACAAAUACCUUAUUUGUCACUAAUAAAAUAGUAAUUGUGUUUCCGUGCUAAGAAAUAAAAUAUUCAAAUAUGUCUCCCUCUGAGAUUAAGUUUAGGUACUGUCUUGGCAGUUCAUUAAUGCUCCAGUAAUCUCUAAGGCCCGAAUACAGUUAUCACACAAACUUAUGAAUUAAGUCAUUCAUGAUAUGCUCACAACCAUCUGGCUCAUACCUUUGCAAUCUGAAAACAAAGUUAGAUACUGACAUUCCUCCUCCCAUUCUCAGUCUUAAAAUUGAAGCUUAGGAGUUCCUGUCAUGGCUCAGCAGAAAGGAAUCUGACUGGCAUCCAUGAGGACAUAGGUUCGAUCCCUGGGCUUGCUCAGUGGGUUAAAGAUCCGGCAUUGCUGUGAGCUAUGGUGUAGGUCACAGACACAGCUAGGAUCCCAUGUUGCUGUGGCUCUGGUGUAGGCCAGCAGCUACAGCUCAUAUUCAACCCCUAGCCUGGGAACCUCCAUAUGCUACAGGUGUGCCCCCUCUCCCCCAAAAAAGGACAAAAUUGAAGCUUAGGGGAAGAGUUAGAAAUUUACUCACAGCCUACUAAAAUACAUCUUGUUAUUAUUAUUUUUUAGAACUUGUGCCAUGUUCUGCCUGAUAUUUUAGGCAAUCAGAAAAUAUUAAUUAAUCCAGCACCAGAGGGAAGAACGAUAGCACAAUAUUUCCAGGAUCAUUUCCUGCCUGACAUCUUCAUAUUAAUCACUUUUUGCAUAUGUGUUGACUGACAUGAUUUCGAAACAAACCAAACUUUAUAAUUCUUGCCUUCAAAUUUGAGUUAUUUGUCAUUGAAGAUCGUAUCCCUAAAUUGUUAUUUCCAAACUGGAUUUUUUCGCCAUCUGUUGUAUGAAAAAAGAAGUGCGUAGAAGUCUACAAAUCUUUUUGGUUCAAAAUUGCAUGUUUCUCUCUAUCAUGACAGUUCCUAAGCUAUGUUCUGUCUCUUUUUAAGUCUAUUUCUGAUCUCUUGUUCCUGUUCAAAUUGAUCCUGCACAGGUCAGUCUGACCCAUAAAUGACACAAAAUUGUUUUUGAGGUUUGAAAUCUUAAUAUCAGAUAAUGUCUAAAUCCGCCAUGAAAUUUUGCUUCAUGCUUUUUGUUCCACAGUAAUUACCACCUUCAUCAUCAUAUUCAAGUUUUGGUAGAUUAAGCUGCUUUAAAAAAUACCGAGAGAAAACGUAUUUUUUAAACUACAUAGUUUAUUUUUAUUUUUUGGAAAUUGAUUACUGAUACUUACACCUAAAGGGAGACUUCCAUGAUUUUUAUUUUCUUCUUUAUCCAAAAAGAGAUGGCAUUGUUGUAAAUGCCUGUUGCUGAUGUAGGGUGCCCUCAAUUCUCAUUCUUGAACAUGAGCAACAUCUUCUAGGUUAGAAAAUUUCCCCAAUAUCUUCGAAUACAUGAAGUCAGUCAUUGAAACCCUUUCUUUAACCAUCAAGUGAGGAUGUGAUGGUCUGGUUAUCUCUAGGUUCGAAACUACAAAUUUAGCUUCUAAUCCAGUUUCCACUUAAUAUCUGAGUGACCUGGGACAUAUCAUUUUAACCUUCUGUGUCUUAUUUUAUGUUAUAAAAAUGAUGAUAUAAUAUCAGUCACUCAAAGUGUAUUAAAUUCAAUGAGUAAAAAAUGGCUGAAUUGUGGUUAGUAUUCCAAAACUUAACUUUUCUUCCUUUGCUUAUCUUAACUAUAGAACAUAUUUUAUGCCAGAAUCUAUCAACCUCAUAUUUAGAUGUGAUUUAUUUUUCCAGAAAUUCUUUGAACGCCUUGGUAUCAGCUUCUACCAAUGUCUGAAUGUUAAAAUUUUGCUCCAUGAGCAUCCAGGGCCCCGGAAUUUGUGUGAGGCAAGGACCCACAGAGCAAAGUUGCAGCCAAGAAAAUACUGUUUCUUCAGGCAUGACAUCUGUCCAGAUGUCACAGAUGCCUUUGAAUGAGUACUUCAUACCCACCCCCUAGGAAUACUAGAGCUGUCUCCCUACAGAGAAAGGAAAUCAAGUGCUAAGAGUCAGCAUAAUGUGUCCACAUAUGGACAGAUCCUCCAUUUAAAAAAAAAAAAUCUGGUUAAUCUAAAAUACAAUACAUAUCAACUAUCUAUGAAACAAAAAGAUGCACAGACAUAGAGAACAGACUUGUGGUUGCCAAGGAAUAGGGAGUUGGGGGAGGGAUGGAUGGGGAGGUUGGGAUUAGCAGAUGCAAACAUUAUCUAUAGAAUGGAUAAACAGCAAGUCCUACUACAUAGCACACAAAAAAACUGGAUUCAAUAUCCUGUGAUAAACUAUGAUGGGAAAUAAUAUUGAGAAGGAAUGUAUAUGUAUGUAUAACUAAAUCACUUUGCUGUACAGUGGAAAUUAACACAACAUUGUAAAUCAACUAUACUUCAAUAAAACACAUUUUUUUUUUAAUCCAGUUACUCUGUUUCCAAUGAGACUUUAUAGCUAGGCUGUACUGAAGCUGUAGAAAGUACAAUUGUGAACUUACUCUCAGUAUUUAAGGCACAUCUUAAGUGUGUGCUUAUUAUCAGUAUUUAAGACAUGUCUGCUUAUCCUCACUGUCACCUGUCUGUUCAAAAGAAAAAGUAUCGAAGGGCUAUGCCUUUAUUUGAAAGUCAAAUGUAUUUCUGUAUCUUUACCACAUCAAUUUAUUUAAAGAUUUAAUUCCCCAAAGCCAAAAUGACAAAAUCCACAGCUUAGAGUCAUUUAUUAAAAUUUAAAGCCACAGCUUAAAUUAAGAGAGCUGUUAGGGGACCCUGUAGUUCAUGAUUUGAAGACAAUUAUUUAUUUAUUCUGCAGGAAUAACACUGCUAAUUUUAAAAUGUUCCUUCUUUGCCUUUAAUGUAUAGUAACUGUAAUCAUAGAAUUUUUCUGAAGUCUUUUUCUGCUGUUUGGUGAAUCACAUAGCAGAUAUAAACCCACCCCUUCCUCAAAGAAAAAGAGAAAAAAAUAAAAGCUCCAAGAAUCAUUGAUCCAGGCUUAAAGCCAAGCAAUCUAUUUUUAGUGCUUUCUCAACAAGCCACACAAUAAAAAUGUAAAUGGAAUGGUGCUACUUUCUUCUCACACCUUUUUUCAAUGUGAAAGUUUGAUGCUAUUUAAAUUAUUUUCAGACUAUUUUCAGGGAACUAGUUACUCCAGUUUGGGAGCCUUACUAUCCCAAUUUCAUACUCAUCAUAAUUCCAUGUGUGUUAUUAUAGCCUUACAAUAUUUGACCUUCAUGAAAAUCUGAGGAUGAUCUUGAGUUAUCUUGCUAAUCUGGGUUGCUGAAUUUGAUAGAGUCCGUUGGAUAUCAUCCAAGUCUUUCCUCUCCCCCAAUUUAUUGAGAUAUACCUGAUACAUAAAGUUGUGUAAAUUGAAGGUGCACAGUGUCUUGAUUUGAUACACAUAAACUGCAAUACGAUUACCACUGUAGUGUGAGCUAACAGCUCCAUCAUAUCAUAUAAAUACCUUUUUAUUGUUGUAAGAAUAUUUCAGAUCUAGUCUCGGUGAUUUUUAAGUAUAUCCUACAGUAUUAUCUUUAUUUGUAAUGCUAUGAACAGAUCCCAGAACUAAUUAAUCUUCUAAUUGGAAAUUUGUACUCUUUGACCAGUAUCUCCCAGUUUCUCCCACCUCCUACCCCUGGUAAGCACCAUUCUAUGCUUUGUUUCUGUGAGUUCAGUUUUUUUAGAUUCCAUGUAUAAGUAUUGCAUAUAGUAAUUACAUAUCUUUCUCUAUCCAACUUAUUUCAUUCAGCAUUAUGCAUUCCAGGGCCAUCCAUGUUGUCCCAAAUGAGAUUUUGUUACUUCUCAUGACUGAAUAAUACUCCAUAUAUUCCUAUAUAUGUAUAUCUUCUUUAUGCAUUCUUCCACUGUGGACACUUAGAUUGUUUCCUAUGUUGGCUAUUGUGACUAAUGCUUCAAUAAACAGAGGAAACCAGUUCACUUCAUUUCAGUUUAUGAAUCUUUUCUCCAUGUGGUGUUUUUUUUCAGUCUAGCUCCUCCUAGGAUAGAUAAUUUAGCUUUCUGGAACACCUCUAGAUUAUAAAUUCCCUAGAAUAUGGAACUAUGUUUGAAACCUCUUUGUACCUAAAGAGUAACAUAGUAUGUAAAGCAUAAUAAUAGGUAGCAUCUAUAAAAUGCUGACCCUAUGUCAGAUACUAUUCUAAACUCUUCCCAUACAGUAACUUAAUUUUCACAAUGUAAAGAAAUGUAUUACUACUAUAUUUACAAUUGAGUUAACCUGAAAUUAACCUGAAAUUCAGAAGGUGAUUCAGCCAAACCCACACAACUAGUAUAUGACGUAGCAAAAAUUUGAGCCUAGAUAACUCUUGAGUUCUACCAUAUACUGUCAACUAGUGGAAGACGGGAAUGAGUGCAUGGUUUGUAGAAUUAAAUAAACUCCUCUGGAACCUAAUAGAACUCAGAAAAAUUGUAGAUAAUGCAGAUGGGAUGAAAACAAAAGUGAAAGAGAAAAAGGUAGAAUAAGGAAGGUGGAGAGUAGCACCAAAGAAAGAGUAGGGAAUGUAGUAGACAGUGAAGAAGGAAAUUAGGCCAAGUGGAGGAGUUCAUGGUGAAAAUAUAGAAAAGAAUGAAAAGAGCCUGCCUGGGAG